CGGGGACGAUAAUGACGGUAGCCGGAGAAGAAGCCCCGGCUAACUUCGUGCCAGCAGCCGCGGUAAUACGAAGGGGGCUAGCGUUGCUCGGAAUUACUGGGCGUAAAGGGCGCGUAGGCGGAUCGUUAAGUCAGAGGUGAAAUCCCAGGGCUCAACCCUGGAACAGCCUUUGAUACUGGCGAUCUUGAGUAUGAGAGAGGAAUGUGGAACUCCGAGUGUAGAGGUGAAAUUCGUAGAUAUUCGGAAGAACACCAGUGGCGAAGGCUACAUACUUGCUCAUUACUGACGCUGAGGCGCGAAAGCGUGGGGAGCAAACAGGAUUAGAUACCCUGGUAGUCCACGCCGUAACCGAUGAUUGCUAGUUGUCGGGCUGCACGCAGUUCGGUGACGCAGCUAACGCAUUAAGCAAUCCGCCUGGGGAGUACGGUCGCAAG
RNAcentral lists this ribosomal RNA (434 nucleotides) under uncultured Brevundimonas sp. RNAcentral's name for it is "bacterial SSU rRNA". It matches the Rfam family "Bacterial small subunit ribosomal RNA", at positions 440 to 892 of the family's 1533-position model. The record is from RNAcentral. Lineage: Bacteria; Pseudomonadati; Pseudomonadota; Alphaproteobacteria; Caulobacterales; Caulobacteraceae.